GAUGAACGCUGGCGGCGUGCCUAAUACAUGCAAGUCGAGCGAACAGACGAGGAGCUUGCUCCUCUGACGUUAGCGGCGGACGGGUGAGUAACACGUGGAUAACCUACCUAUAAGACUGGGAUAACUUCGGGAAACCGGAGCUAAUACCGGAUAAUAUAUUGAACCGCAUGGUUCAAUAGUGAAAGACGGUUUUGCUGUCACUUAUAGAUGGAUCCGCGCCGCAUUAGCUAGUUGGUAAGGUAACGGCUUACCAAGGCAACUAUGCGUAGCCGACCUGAGAGGGUGAUCGGCCACACUGGAACGUAGACACGGUCCAGACUCCUACGGGAGGCAGCAGUAGGGAAUCUUCCGCAAUGGGCGAAAGCCUGACGGAGCAACGCCGCGUGAGUGAUGAAGGUCUUCGGAUCGUAAAACUCUGUUAUUAGGGAAGAACAAAUGUGUAAGUAACUAUGCACGUCUUGACGGUACCUAAUCAGAAAGCCACGGCUAACUACGUG
RNAcentral lists this ribosomal RNA (497 nucleotides) under uncultured bacterium. RNAcentral describes it as "partial 16S ribosomal RNA". It matches the Rfam family "Bacterial small subunit ribosomal RNA", at positions 28 to 507 of the family's 1533-position model. The record is from RNAcentral.